UGUGCAGGCGGCUUUGUAAGUCAGUGGUGAAAGCCCGGAGCUCAACUCUGGAAUUGCCAUUGAUACUGCAAAGCUUGAGUUCGGUUGAAGUAGGCGGAAUGUAGCAUGUAGCGGUGAAAUGCUUAGAUAUGCUACAGAACACCGAUUGCGAAGGCAGCUUACUAAACCGUUACUGACGCUGAUACACGAAAGCGUGGGGAGCGAACAGGAUUAGAUACCCUGGUAGUCC
RNAcentral lists this ribosomal RNA (229 nucleotides) under uncultured bacterium. Its description in RNAcentral is "partial 16S ribosomal RNA". It matches the Rfam family "Bacterial small subunit ribosomal RNA", at positions 568 to 796 of the family's 1533-position model. The record is from RNAcentral.